This 201-nucleotide ribosomal RNA is filed under the name uncultured bacterium. Its description in RNAcentral is "partial 16S ribosomal RNA". It matches the Rfam family "Bacterial small subunit ribosomal RNA", at positions 29 to 257 of the family's 1533-position model. The record is from RNAcentral.
AACGAACGCUGGCGGCAGGCUUAACACAUGCAAGUCGAACGCACUCUUCGGAGUGAGUGGCAGACGGGUGAGUAACGCGUGGGAAUCUACCCAGCCCUUCGGAAUAGCUCCGGGAAACUGGAAUUAAUACCGAGUACGCCCUACGGGGAAGGAUUAUUCGGGUUGGGUAGUGAGCCCGCCGUUGGUAGUUAGUCUAGUUGG